Molecule: long non-coding RNA, 179 nt
Filed under: Anas platyrhynchos platyrhynchos (common mallard)
Lineage: Eukaryota; Metazoa; Chordata; Aves; Anseriformes; Anatidae
Description: lncRNA (ENSAPLG00000018738.1)
Source: RNAcentral
GAAUACAUAUUUUUCCUAGUCUGACUGCAUCUCUACUGGAUGCCACAUUGUGUAUAGAAGCAUAUAGAAGACUGAAAUUGUCCUGGAAAGAGGCUGAAUCGCAAUCAGAAACAUCUUUCUUUUCCUUGCCCAUACUUCAGAGAUACUUUAGGCAAGCUGUGCUUUCUGGUCAUUUUUAA